GACGAACGCUGGCGGCGUGCUUAACACAUGCAAGUCGAACGGAAAGGCCCUUCGGGGUCCUCGAGUGUCGAACGGGUGAGUAACACGGGGGUGAUCUGCCCUGCACUUUGGGAUAAGCCUGUGAAACUGGGUCUAAUACCGAAUAGGACCACGCGCUUCAGGGUGUGUGGUGGAAAGCGUUUGCGGUGUGGGCUGGGUCCGCGGCCUAUCAGCUCGUUGGUGGGGUAAUGGCCGACCAAGGCGACGACGGGUAGCCGGCCUGAGAGGGGGACCGGCCACACUGGGCCUGAGAUACGGCCCAGACUCCUACGGGAGGCAGCAGUGGGGAAUAUUGCACAAUGGGCGCAAGCCUGAUGCAGCGACGCCGCGUGCGGGAUGACGGCCUUCGGGUUGUAAACCUCUUUCAAUAGGGACGAAGCGAAAGUGACGGUACCUAUAGAAGAAGCCCCGGCCAACUACGUG
This 462-nucleotide ribosomal RNA is filed under the name uncultured bacterium. Its description in RNAcentral is "partial 16S ribosomal RNA". It matches the Rfam family "Bacterial small subunit ribosomal RNA", at positions 28 to 507 of the family's 1533-position model. The record is from RNAcentral.